RNAcentral lists this ribosomal RNA (538 nucleotides) under Pseudomonas umsongensis. RNAcentral's name for it is "partial 23S ribosomal RNA". It matches the Rfam family "Bacterial large subunit ribosomal RNA", at positions 1 to 580 of the family's 2925-position model. Lineage: Bacteria; Pseudomonadati; Pseudomonadota; Gammaproteobacteria; Pseudomonadales; Pseudomonadaceae. RNAcentral also lists the same sequence under 1 other name. The record is from RNAcentral.
GUUAUAUGGUCAAGUGAAGAAGCGCAUACGGUGGAUGCCUUGGCAGUCAGAGGCGAUGAAAGACGUGGUAGCCUGCGAAAAGCUUCGGGGAGUCGGCAAACAGACUUUGAUCCGGAGAUGUCUGAAUGGGGGAACCCAGCCAUCAUAAGAUGGUUAUCUUGUACUGAAUACAUAGGUGCAAGAGGCGAACCAGGGGAACUGAAACAUCUAAGUACCCUGAGGAAAAGAAAUCAACCGAGAUUCCCUUAGUAGUGGCGAGCGAACGGGGACUAGCCCUUAAGUGGCUUUGAGAUUAGCGGAACGCUCUGGAAAGUGCGGCCAUAGUGGGUGAUAGCCCUGUACGCGAAAAUCUCUUAGUCAUGAAAUCGAGUAGGACGGAGCACGAGAAACUUUGUCUGAAUAUGGGGGGACCAUCCUCCAAGGCUAAAUACUACUGACUGACCGAUAGUGAACUAGUACCGUGAGGGAAAGGCGAAAAGAACCCCGGAGAGGGGAGUGAAAUAGAUCCUGAAACCGUAUGCGUACAAGCAGUGGGAGC